This 440-nucleotide ribosomal RNA is filed under the name uncultured bacterium. RNAcentral's name for it is "bacterial SSU rRNA". It matches the Rfam family "Bacterial small subunit ribosomal RNA", at positions 338 to 795 of the family's 1533-position model. The record is from RNAcentral.
CCUACGGGGGGCAGCAGUGGGGAAUAUUGCACAAUGGGGGAAACCCUGAUGCAGCAACGCCGCGUGAGCGAUGAAGGCCUUCGGGUCGUAAAGCUCUGUCCUAAGGGAAGAAUACUGACGGUACCUUAGGAGGAAGCCCCGGCUAACUACGUGCCAGAAGCCGCGGUAAUACGUAGGGGGCUAGCGUUAUCCGGAAUUACUGGGCGUAAAGGAUGCGUAGGCGGAACUUCAAGUCAGAGGUGAAAGGCUACGGCGCAACCGGAAUCAGGCUUUGAAACUGUAGGUCUUGAGUGCAGGAGAUGAGUGUUGAAUUCCCAGUGUAACGGUGAAAGGCGUAGAUAUUAGGAAGAAAGACAGGUGGGAAGGCGGCUCACUGGAAUGUAACUGACGCUGAGGCACGAAAGCGUGGUGAGAGAACAGGAUUAGAGACCCGAGUAGUC